CGCGUAGGCGGUGAGGUAAGUGAGAUGUGAAAUCCUCCGGCUCACCCGGAGACAUGCAUCUUAUACUGCUUCGCUAGAGUGCAGCAGAGGAAACGGGAAUUCCAGGUGUAGCGGUGAAAUGCGUAGAUAUCUGGAGGAACACCGGUGGCGAAGGCGCGUUUCUGGGCUGCUACUGACGCUGAUGCGCGAAAGCUGGGGGAGCGAACGGGAUUAGAUACCCCGGUAGUCCCAGCCGUAAACGGUGAACACUAGGUGUGGGGAGUAUCGACCCUCUCCGUGCCGCAGCCAACGCAUUAAGUGUUCCGCCUGGGGAGUACGGUCGCAAGGCUGAA
RNAcentral lists this ribosomal RNA (332 nucleotides) under uncultured bacterium. RNAcentral's name for it is "bacterial SSU rRNA". It matches the Rfam family "Bacterial small subunit ribosomal RNA", at positions 568 to 898 of the family's 1533-position model. The record is from RNAcentral.